CACGAAGGUUGGCUAAUCCUGGUCGGACAUCAGGAGGUUAGUGCAAUGGCAUAAGCCAGCUUGACUGCGAGCGUGACGGCGCGAGCAGGUGCGAAAGCAGGUCAUAGUGAUCCGGUGGUUCUGAAUGGAAGGGCCAUCGCUCAACGGAUAAAAGGUACUCCGGGGAUAACAGGCUGAUACCGCCCAAGAGUUCAUAUCGACGGCGGUGUUUGGCACCUCGAUGUCGGCUCAUCACAUCCUGGGGCUGAAGUAGGUCCCAAGGGUAUGGCUGUUCGCCAUUUAAAGUGGUACGCGAGCUGGGUUUAGAACGUCGUGAGACAGUUCGGUCCCUAUCUGCCGUGGGCGCUGGAGAACUGAGGGGGGCUGCUCCUAGUACGAGAGGACCGGAGUGGACGCAUCACUGGUGUUCGGGUUGUCAUGCCAAUGGCACUGCCCGGUAGCUAAAUGCGGAAGAGAUAAGUGCUGAAAGCAUCUAAGCACGAAACUUGCCCCGA
Molecule: ribosomal RNA, 494 nt
Filed under: Salmonella enterica
Lineage: Bacteria; Pseudomonadati; Pseudomonadota; Gammaproteobacteria; Enterobacterales; Enterobacteriaceae
Also listed under: 3 other names
Description: partial 23S ribosomal RNA
Rfam family: Bacterial large subunit ribosomal RNA
Source: RNAcentral